GUGCUCCCUUUAGCAGCACGUAUACUGAAAUUGGAACUAAAUAAAGAAGAUGAGCAUGGCCCUUGGCAAGGAAGACAUGCAAAUUCGUGAAGCAUUCCAUGUUUUC
Myotis lucifugus (little brown bat) is the source of this 106-nucleotide small nuclear RNA. Lineage: Eukaryota; Metazoa; Chordata; Mammalia; Chiroptera; Vespertilionidae. The record is from Ensembl.